UAAUACGUAGGGUGCGAGCGUUAAUCGGAAUUACUGGGCGUAAAGCGUGCGCAGGCGGUUUUGUAAGCCAGAUGUGAAAGCCCCGGGCUUAACCUGGGAAUGGCAUUUGGGACUGCAAGGCUUGAGUGCGGCAGAGGAGACUGGAAUUCCUGGUGUAGCAGUGAAAUGCGUAGAUAUCAGGAGGAAUACCGAUGGCGAAGGCAGGUCUCUGGGCUGACACUGACGCUCAUGCACGAAAGCGUGGGGAGCAAACAGGAUUAGAUACCCUGGUAGUCCACGCCCUAAACGAUGUCGACUAGUUGUCGGAGGGUAACUCCUUCGGUAACGCAGCUAACGCGUGAAGUCGACCGCCUGGGGAGUACGGUCGCAAGAUUA
This 375-nucleotide ribosomal RNA is filed under the name uncultured bacterium. Its description in RNAcentral is "bacterial SSU rRNA". It matches the Rfam family "Bacterial small subunit ribosomal RNA", at positions 521 to 896 of the family's 1533-position model. The record is from RNAcentral.